Long non-coding RNA from Bos taurus (domestic cattle), 1327 nucleotides. Lineage: Eukaryota; Metazoa; Chordata; Mammalia; Artiodactyla; Bovidae. The record is from Ensembl.
GUUCCGGGGUCUGCCGAGUUCGGGGCCUGAGGCCUUUGCGCAGGUUUGAGCGUUUCCGUCCGCAGUUGCUUAACGAGGCCGCGGUUGUGCUGGCCCGGAAGCCUCGGGCUCCACUCUCCCCGUGGAGGGGGGUCUCGUCAGCUCCGUGAGCUGGCCCGUUCCUUGGCGCUUCUGCAUGUUAGCGGUUUCCUGAGGCCGGGCCGGCCGCUUGGUGUUACAGCACCUGGGAGCUGAGAAUGUCUUUCCUACACGUAAACGCAGAUAUUUAUUGAGAUAAUACCUCUGGGACUCUAUGACUUCUGAGCUGAUGCCUUGUCCGCUGCCCAACCUGAGGCUCACGGUGAUAGAAAAAGAGCAAAUAUGCUGAAGCAGCUGCCAGCUUCACUCCUUGCUCACUGUAUAUGUUUCAGUUAUGUGCUUGGCCUCUAAAAGGAGAGUUGGAAGGAGUGCUCCAUGUGCUUGAGACAGACAACAGGUGGGUGUGCUCGUUCAGAGACGGAGGCUUUGGAGUGGAACUUGGGAGUCGCUCCGUGUGUCUCAGGAGACAGGUCCUUGGCUGGGUUUGAGGGGCAAGGUUUGAAGGCUGUACUCCCCAGCGCCUCCACGUGUCUUCUUGGGGCCCAUCAAGUCCAGUAGUCCAAAGAACUGGCAGCUCAUAAAGCUUCUGAAAGGCUAGAAAGCUGCCUUCUCCCUAGAAAGCUGCUUUCAAUUAAAGUGGACCCUCAAAUUCUCCAUUUUGUUUGUUUUUAAAGCCUACAUAUAGGUGAUAGUUUGGGCAUGCAUGUGUAUCUUGUCACUUUGAACAAAAAAUGCUGCCCCAGUCUCGUCCCCGCUAGAGCAUGUGCUCUGCGCUGCUGCAGCGCUCACCAGGUGGAGCUUGCUCCCCCUCAACACAGCUCUGGGCUGCUGAGCACUGCGCUUUGUUUACACGAACAAGAAAGAAACACUUGCUACUCUUGCUGAGACCCCCUUGUUUGCAGUUUUCUGUCACUUGCAUCACACUUGCUCUUAAAGAGCACAGUGGCCACCUUAGCAAUGCCACUUAGAGUAACACGUUUCCUCCCCCUCACGUGAGCUCUCCCUCUCUCUGAAUGAAGCUUUGACGUCUCCAGGGCACUGUAAGCCUCUUCCUCUCAGGCCCUUCUGUCAGCUCUGGCCAACAUUCUGCUGUCUACCUCCAUGUAGCCGUCCAGGCCUGGCCUGGCCCUGCUCACCUUGGUUUGCCCGCCUCUCUCCAGCUAAGUUUUGACAGAUCGUUUGUUCCUCAGUUGCUCUCUUGAACCCAAGUGUAGUUCCCUCUUGCCCUUGUGACCUUGGAUUGGUGAAC